AGUAGUUUACUACAGAAAAUGACUGAGCGGCGAACGGGUGAGUAACGCGUGAGCAAUCUACCUUAGUUACAGGGAUAGCCCGAGGAAACUCGGAUUAAUACCUGAUAUUCUUUAUAUUUCGCAUGAAAUUAAAAGGAAAGGUCAGCCGAACUAAGAUGAGCUCGCGUUCUAUCAGCUAGUUGGUGAGGUAAAAGCUCACCAAGGCUACGACGGAUAGCUGGUCUGAGAGGACGAUCAGCCACACUGGGACUGAGACACGGCCCAGACUCCUACGGGAGGCUGCAGCAGGGAAUAUUGCGCAAUGAGCGAAAGCUUGACGCAGCGACACCGCGUGUGGGAUGACGGAUCUAGGUUUGUAAACCACUUUCAGGAGGGAAGAAAAUGACGGUACCUCCACAAGAAGCCCCGGCCAACUACGUGCCAGCAGCCGCGGUAAUACGUAGGGGGCGAGCGUUGUCCGGAUUUAUUGGGCGUAAAGAGCUCGUAGGCGGUUCAACAAGUCGGUCGUGAAAGUUCAGGGCUCAACCCUGAAAUGUCGAUCGAUACUGUUGUGACUAGGAUACGGUAGAGGUGAGUGGAAUUCCGAGUGUAGCGGUGAAAUGCGUAGAUAUUCGGAGGAACACCAAUUGCGAAGGCAGCUCACUGGGCCG
Molecule: ribosomal RNA, 650 nt
Filed under: uncultured marine bacterium
Lineage: Bacteria
Description: bacterial SSU rRNA
Rfam family: Bacterial small subunit ribosomal RNA
Source: RNAcentral